This 276-nucleotide unclassified non-coding RNA is filed under the name uncultured fungus. RNAcentral's name for it is "sequence contains ITS2". The stretch from base 1 to 52 matches the Rfam family "5.8S ribosomal RNA", at positions 103 to 154 of the family's 154-position model. The record is from RNAcentral. Lineage: Eukaryota; Fungi.
AACGCACCUUGCACUCCUUGGUAUUCCGAGGAGUAUGCCUGUUUGAGUGUCAUGAAAUUAUCAACUUCAAAGUUUUAUUACAUUGAAGCUUGGACUUGGAAGUUGCUGGCUUGUUCGGCUCUUCUUAAAUUUAUUAGCUGCUUGUCCGUGGGUUGGCUCAGAGUGUGAUAAUUAUCUGCACUUGGUGGCUGCCUGCAAGGAUGUGGCUUCUAACCGUCUUUGGACAAUUUCUUAAGAUCUGACCUCAAAUCAGGUAGGACUACCCGCUGAACUUAA